GACGAACGCUGGCGGCGUGCUUAACACAUGCAAGUCGAACGGAAAGGCCUGCUUUCCCUUGUGGAUUGCGGGUACUCGAGUGGCGAACGGGUGAGUAACACGGGAGUGAUCUGCCACCAACUUGGGUAUAAGCCUGGGAAACUGGGUCUAAUUACGUAUAGGACUGCAGGGUGGUGGCUGUGGUGGAAAACGAUUUUCUAGUGGUUGGGGAUGAGCUCGCGGACUAUCAGCUUGUUGGUGGGGUAAUGGCCUACCAAGGCGGCGACGGGUAGCCGGCCUGAGAGGGUGGACGGCCACAUUGAGAAUGAGAUACGGCCCAGACACCUACGGGAGGCAGCAGUGGGGAAUAUUGCACAAUGGGCGGAAGCCUGAUGCAGCGACGCCGGGUGGAGGAUGACGGCCUUCGGGUUGUAAGCUCCUUUCGACCGCGAGGAAGCCACCUGGUUGGAAGGGUGGUGACGGUAGUGGUAGAAGAAGCACCGGCUAACUACGUG
This 494-nucleotide ribosomal RNA is filed under the name uncultured bacterium. Its description in RNAcentral is "partial 16S ribosomal RNA". It matches the Rfam family "Bacterial small subunit ribosomal RNA", at positions 28 to 507 of the family's 1533-position model. The record is from RNAcentral.